Molecule: long non-coding RNA, 773 nt
Organism: Oryzias latipes (Japanese medaka)
Lineage: Eukaryota; Metazoa; Chordata; Actinopteri; Beloniformes; Adrianichthyidae
Source: RefSeq, a predicted model, not a curated record
GCAUUUAGUAGACUUUGGAUUUUUUUUUUUUUACAAUUUUUCUUUUAAAUAAUUGUUUCACUAGUGUUAUACUAAACCUGUUCAACAUAAAGAAAAGCACUUCAAUUAAGUGUGUCUACAGUCUUUUGAUAUUUUGUUGAUUUUAUCUGCAUCUGUACAACCUCUGGGUUUGUAGUCACAGAUUGAAAUGAAUGACAAUGAGUUAAAUCUCACUGAUCCUUUAUCAACUGAACCUUUCUUCUGGGACCUUUUAUGAUGCUCUCACUUGCACAGAAAACUCACCACUCUUCUCUUUUCACAGGGUUAGAAAGCAUCAGAAACAUGAGCCUGAACUAGAAGGAUGAUAGAAUCCCCGCCCACAAAAUCCUCAGGACACCAAGGAUCCACUUUGAACGUCCCACUGCCAAAGACCACAGGAAAGUUUUGGAGCCCAUUUUCUGAAAGGCAUGUUCCUCUCUGGAGUCCAGGGUGGAGGGAAAACAGUGAGUGAAGAGGAGAGGGAUGAAGAAAGUAAACAGAAGGCCUCACCUCAGCCGGGGCCAAGGCAAAUGUUUGAACCACCUGUUGCAAGAAACCUGAAGCCCUCAGGAGAUGUUCAGAUGGAGCUGGAGUUGAGGCAAUGAUCCAGGUAUGGGUCACUUCUGAAUUUUAUUGGGAGGGAGGAGUGGGAGGCAGUGUCUGUACAGGGCUACUUACUCAUUACAACAGGUAAAGCAAUAAAAGUUACCAAAAAACUGACAUAUUAAUAUGUGAAACCCAGUGUAAAACAUCUG